This 272-nucleotide ribosomal RNA is filed under the name Florenciella parvula. RNAcentral's name for it is "partial Bacterial large subunit ribosomal RNA". It matches the Rfam family "Bacterial large subunit ribosomal RNA", at positions 617 to 885 of the family's 2925-position model. The record is from RNAcentral. Lineage: Eukaryota; Dictyochophyceae; Florenciellales.
GAGCCUGCGAGUCAGCGGCAUGUCGCGAGGUUAACCCACGUGUGGGGUAGUCGUAGCGAAAGCGAAUCCGAAAUGGGUGUUGUUAGUGGCAUGUCCUGGACCCGAAGCGGGGUGAUCUACCCAUGGCCAGUGUGAAGCAGCUGUAAGAGGUUGUGGAGGCGCGAACCCACUUAGGUUAAAAACUGAGGGGAUGAGCUGUGGGUAGGGGUGAAAGGCCAAUCAAACUCCGUGAUAGCUGGUUCUCCCCGAAAUGCAUUUAGGUGCAGCGUCAC